AUGGCUCUGAUGCUUAUUGCACCACAUGUGUUUUUUAUUGAACAAAUUUCUUUGGUGGCGGGAGCAAUCCUACCGCCAGAGGUUAUAACUAAACCAAACUUUUUAUUUACAGUCAAACUUGAUUUAUUAUUACAAUAGUCAAAACUUUCAACAACGGAUCUCUUGGUUCUCGCAUCGAUGAAGAACGCAGCGAAAUGCGAUACGUAAUAUGAAUUGCAGAUAUUCGUGAAUCAUCGAAUCUUUGAACGCACAUUGCGCCCUUUGGUAUUCCAAAGGGCAUGCCUGUUUGAGCGUCAUUUCUCCCUCAAACCCCCGGGUUUGGUGUUGAGCAAUACGCUAGGUUUGUUUGAAAGAAUUUAACGUGGAAACUUAUUUUAAGCGACUUAGGUUUAUCCAAAACGCUUAUUUUGCUAGUGGCCACCACAAUUUAUUUCAUAACUUUGACCUCAAAUCAGGGAGGACUACCCGCUGAACUUAAGCAUAUCAAAAACCGGGAGGGAA
This 501-nucleotide ribosomal RNA is filed under the name Candida tropicalis. RNAcentral's name for it is "eukaryotic LSU rRNA". The stretch from base 143 to 296 matches the Rfam family "5.8S ribosomal RNA". The record is from RNAcentral. Lineage: Eukaryota; Fungi; Ascomycota; Pichiomycetes; Serinales; Debaryomycetaceae.